UACGGGGGGGGCAAGCGUUGUUCGGAAUUACUGGGCGUAAAGGGCUCGUAGGCGGCCAACUAAGUCGGAUGUGAAAUCCCCAGGCUUAACCUGGGAGCUGCAUCCGAUACUGGAUGGCUUGAAUCCGGGAGAGGGAUGCAGAAUUCCAGGUGUAGCGGUGAAAUGCGUAGAUAUCUGGAGGAAUACCGGUGGCGAAGGCGGCAUCCUGGACCGGCAUUGACGCUGAUGAGCGAAAGCUAGGGGAGCAAACGGG
Molecule: ribosomal RNA, 253 nt
Filed under: uncultured bacterium
Lineage: Bacteria
Description: partial 16S ribosomal RNA
Rfam family: Bacterial small subunit ribosomal RNA
Source: RNAcentral